UAGUAUGAAAAUAGCUGACCACUGUAGC
Molecule: non-coding RNA, 28 nt
Filed under: Bombyx mori (domestic silkworm)
Lineage: Eukaryota; Metazoa; Arthropoda; Insecta; Lepidoptera; Bombycidae
Source: RNAcentral